This 1554-nucleotide ribosomal RNA is filed under the name Staphylococcus aureus. RNAcentral describes it as "16S ribosomal RNA". It matches the Rfam family "Bacterial small subunit ribosomal RNA". Lineage: Bacteria; Bacillati; Bacillota; Bacilli; Caryophanales; Staphylococcaceae. The record is from RNAcentral.
UUUAUGGAGAGUUUGAUCCUGGCUCAGGAUGAACGCUGGCGGCGUGCCUAAUACAUGCAAGUCGAGCGAACGGACGAGAAGCUUGCUUCUCUGAUGUUAGCGGCGGACGGGUGAGUAACACGUGGAUAACCUACCUAUAAGACUGGGAUAACUUCGGGAAACCGGAGCUAAUACCGGAUAAUAUUUUGAACCGCAUGGUUCAAAAGUGAAAGACGGUCUUGCUGUCACUUAUAGAUGGAUCCGCGCUGCAUUAGCUAGUUGGUAAGGUAACGGCUUACCAAGGCAACGAUGCAUAGCCGACCUGAGAGGGUGAUCGGCCACACUGGAACUGAGACACGGUCCAGACUCCUACGGGAGGCAGCAGUAGGGAAUCUUCCGCAAUGGGCGAAAGCCUGACGGAGCAACGCCGCGUGAGUGAUGAAGGUCUUCGGAUCGUAAAACUCUGUUAUUAGGGAAGAACAUAUGUGUAAGUAACUGUGCACAUCUUGACGGUACCUAAUCAGAAAGCCACGGCUAACUACGUGCCAGCAGCCGCGGUAAUACGUAGGUGGCAAGCGUUAUCCGGAAUUAUUGGGCGUAAAGCGCGCGUAGGCGGUUUUUUAAGUCUGAUGUGAAAGCCCACGGCUCAACCGUGGAGGGUCAUUGGAAACUGGAAAACUUGAGUGCAGAAGAGGAAAGUGGAAUUCCAUGUGUAGCGGUGAAAUGCGCAGAGAUAUGGAGGAACACCAGUGGCGAAGGCGACUUUCUGGUCUGUAACUGACGCUGAUGUGCGAAAGCGUGGGGAUCAAACAGGAUUAGAUACCCUGGUAGUCCACGCCGUAAACGAUGAGUGCUAAGUGUUAGGGGGUUUCCGCCCCUUAGUGCUGCAGCUAACGCAUUAAGCACUCCGCCUGGGGAGUACGACCGCAAGGUUGAAACUCAAAGGAAUUGACGGGGACCCGCACAAGCGGUGGAGCAUGUGGUUUAAUUCGAAGCAACGCGAAGAACCUUACCAAAUCUUGACAUCCUUUGACAACUCUAGAGAUAGAGCCUUCCCCUUCGGGGGACAAAGUGACAGGUGGUGCAUGGUUGUCGUCAGCUCGUGUCGUGAGAUGUUGGGUUAAGUCCCGCAACGAGCGCAACCCUUAAGCUUAGUUGCCAUCAUUAAGUUGGGCACUCUAAGUUGACUGCCGGUGACAAACCGGAGGAAGGUGGGGAUGACGUCAAAUCAUCAUGCCCCUUAUGAUUUGGGCUACACACGUGCUACAAUGGACAAUACAAAGGGCAGCGAAACCGCGAGGUCAAGCAAAUCCCAUAAAGUUGCUCUCAGUUCGGAUUGUAGUCUGCAACUCGACUACAUGAAGCUGGAAUCGCUAGUAAUCGUAGAUCAGCAUGCUACGGUGAAUACGUUCCCGGGUCUUGUACACACCGCCCGUCACACCACGAGAGUUUGUAACACCCGAAGCCGGUGGAGUAACCUUUUAGGAGCUAGCCGUCGAAGGUGGGACAAAUGAUUGGGGUGAAGUCGUAACAAGGUAGCCGUAUCGGAAGGUGCGGCUGGAUCACCUCCUUUCU